AUCAUGUAGAACAAUCACUACUCUUGGUUUGCUAACCAUGAGUAUAAAGAAGCGUAUGACAAAGAAAUAGAAGAGUAAUCCCCACAUCUAAUCAACACAUUUCCCCUUUUUUUAAUUCUAAUCAGACCUUUUUGUAAGUAAAUCUUCUCAGACCUUUCUGAGCCAUUACCAGAUUGAUUUAGUAAGGCUUAGCUAAAUUCAAAUCGCAAUAAUUACUUGCUAAUAAAACAUUGUUUUCAAAGAGCUUUAAGCCUUGUUUAUCAAAAAAAGAAAGAAAGAAAAGAAAAAACUACAUUCUCUGAAAACCCAUCCUUCAAACAUAACCUAAAAUCUAUUCUGGGAACAAACCAUUCCAUUCCACCACCAGUA
RNAcentral lists this long non-coding RNA (369 nucleotides) under Phoenix dactylifera (date palm). RNAcentral's name for it is "long non-coding RNA (PDAC_LNC021708)". The record is from RNAcentral. Lineage: Eukaryota; Viridiplantae; Streptophyta; Magnoliopsida; Arecales; Arecaceae.